UAAGACAGAGGUGGCAAGCGUUGUUCGGAAUUACUGGGCUUAAAGGGCGCGUAGGCGUCCCGGUAAGUCAGAUGUGGAAGCUUUCCGCUUAACGGGAAAAUUGCAUCUGAUACUGUCGGGAUUGAGUCAGCGAGGGGAUGGCGGAAUUCCAGGUGUAGCGGUGAAAUGCGUAGAUAUCUGGAGGAAGGCCGGUGGCGAAGGCGGCCAUCUGGCGCUGAACUGACGCUGAGGCGCGAAAGCGUGGGGAGCAAACAGGAUUAGAUACCCUGGUAGUCCACGCCCUAAACGGUGGGUACUAGGUGUAGGGCUCGCAAGGGUUCUGUGCCGUAGGGAAACCAUUAAGUACCCCGCCUGGGGAGUACGGCCGCAAGGUUGAAACUUAAAUGAAUUGACGG
Molecule: ribosomal RNA, 395 nt
Filed under: uncultured bacterium
Lineage: Bacteria
Description: bacterial SSU rRNA
Rfam family: Bacterial small subunit ribosomal RNA
Source: RNAcentral